GUGGGGAAUAUUGGACAAUGGGCGCAAGCCUGAUCCAGCCAUGCCGCGUGAGUGAUGAAGGCCUUAGGGUUGUAAAGCUCUUUCACCGAUGAAGAUAAUGACGGUAGUCGGAGAAGAAGCCCCGGCUAACUUCGUGCCAGCAGCCGCGGUAAUACGAAGGGGGCUAGCGUUGUUCGGAUUUACUGGGCGUAAAGCGCACGUAGGCGGUUUGUUAAGUCAGAGGUGAAAUCCCGGAGCUCAACUCCGGAACUGCCUUUGAUACUGGCAAGCUAGAGUCCGGAAGAGGUAAGUGGAACUCCUAGUGUAGAGGUGGAAUUCGUAGAUAUUAGGAAGAACACCAGUGGCGAAGGCGGCUCACUGGUCCGGUACUGACGCUGAGGUGCGAAAGCGUGGGGAGCAAACAGGAUUAGAUACCCGUGUAGUCC
This 425-nucleotide ribosomal RNA is filed under the name uncultured bacterium. RNAcentral's name for it is "partial 16S ribosomal RNA". It matches the Rfam family "Bacterial small subunit ribosomal RNA", at positions 354 to 796 of the family's 1533-position model. The record is from RNAcentral.